Molecule: ribosomal RNA, 497 nt
Filed under: uncultured bacterium
Lineage: Bacteria
Description: partial 16S ribosomal RNA
Rfam family: Bacterial small subunit ribosomal RNA
Source: RNAcentral
GAUGAACGCUGGCGGCGGGCCUAAUACAUGCAAGUCGAGCGAACAGAUGAGGAGCUUGCUCCUCUGACGUUAGAGGCGGACGGGUGAGUAACACGUGGAUAACCUAUCUAUAAGACUGGGAUAACUUCGGGAAACCGGAGCUAAUACCGGAUAAUAUAUUGAACCGCAUGGUUCAAUAGUGAAAGACGGUUUUGCUGUCACUUAUAGAUGGAUCCGCGCCGCAUUAGCUAGUUGGUAAGGUAACGGCUUACCAAGGCAACGAUGCGUAGCCGACCUGAGAGGGUGAUCGGCCACACUGGAACUGAGACACGGUCCAGACUCCUACGGGAGGCAGCAGUAGGGAAUCUUCCGCAAUGGGCGAAAGCCUGACGGAGCAACGCCGCGUGAGUGAUGAAGGUCUUCGGAUCGUAAAACUCUGUUAUUAGGGAAGAACAAAUGUGUAAGUAACUAUGCACGUCUUGACGGUACCUAAUCAGAAAGCCACGGCUAACUACGUG